GAUGAACGCUGACAGAAUGCUUAACACAUGCCAGUCAACUUGAACUUCGGUUUGGGUGGCGGCCGGGGGAGUAACGCGUAAGGAACUUGCCUCACAGCAAGGGACAACAUUUGGAAACGAAUGCUAAUACAUGAUAUUAUGAGUAUAUGGCAUCGAAUAAUUAUGAAAGCUAUCGGCGCUGUGAGAGAGCUUUGUGUCCCAUUAGCUAGUUGGAGAGGUAACAGCUCACCAGGGCGAUGAUGGGUAGCCGGCCUGGGAGGGUGACAGGCCACAGGGGCACAGGGACAGGACCAGUAGUGAAUAGGGGACAAUCAGUGGGAGACAUUGCAAAAGGGACCGAGAGUGUGAUCAAGGAAUUCGGUUUGCAAAGUGAAUUUUUUCGGAAUGAAAAGUGCUUUCAGUAGGGAACAAAAAAAUGACGGUACCAAAAGAAGAAGCGACGGCUAAUUACGUG
Molecule: ribosomal RNA, 454 nt
Filed under: uncultured bacterium
Lineage: Bacteria
Description: partial 16S ribosomal RNA
Rfam family: Bacterial small subunit ribosomal RNA
Source: RNAcentral